Molecule: ribosomal RNA, 497 nt
Filed under: uncultured bacterium
Lineage: Bacteria
Description: partial 16S ribosomal RNA
Rfam family: Bacterial small subunit ribosomal RNA
Source: RNAcentral
GAUGAACGCUGGCGGCGUGCCUAAUACAUGCAAGUCGAGCGAACGGACGAGAAGCUUGCUUCUCUGAUGUUAGCGGCGGACGGGUGAGUAACACGUGGAUAACCUACCUAUAAGACUGGGAUAACUUCGGGAAACCGUAGCUAAUACCGGAUAAUAUUUUGAACCGCAUGGUUCAAAAGUGAAAGACGGUCUUGCUGUCACUUAUAGAUGUAUCCGCGCUGCAUUAGCUAGUUGGUAAUGUAACGGCUUACCAAGGCAACGAUGCAUAGCCGACCUGAAGGGGUGAUCGGCCACACUGGAACUGAGACACGGUCCAGACACCUACGGGAGGAAGCAGUAGGGAAUCUUCCGCGAUGGGCGAAAGCAUGACAGAGCAACGCCGCGUGAAUGAUGAAGGUAUUCGGAUCGUAAAACUCUGUUAUUAGGGAAGAACAUAUGUGUAAGUAACUGUGCACAUCUUGACGGUACCUAAUCAGAAAGCCACGGCUAACUACGUG